Apodemus sylvaticus (European woodmouse) is the source of this 133-nucleotide small nucleolar RNA. RefSeq annotates it as small nucleolar RNA SNORA17. The transcript has a single exon. NCBI's taxonomy places the organism in Eukaryota, Metazoa, Chordata, Mammalia, Rodentia, Muridae. The record is from RefSeq and is a predicted model, not a curated record.
CCUGCUCCUAGAGACGUUGCCGGUAUGGCUGCUGUUCCACAUGUGUGUCAGUAGGUGGCAGAGAGGAGAGAGGAUUACAACUAUGCUUCCUGUUCUGACCUGUGAACAUCUGAAUGAUUAGUAGCCUAACAUU